RNAcentral lists this ribosomal RNA (468 nucleotides) under uncultured bacterium. Its description in RNAcentral is "partial 16S ribosomal RNA". It matches the Rfam family "Bacterial small subunit ribosomal RNA", at positions 28 to 507 of the family's 1533-position model. The record is from RNAcentral.
GAUGAACGCUGGCGGCGUGCUUAACACAUGCAAGUCGAACGGUGAAGGCGGAGCUUGCUCUGCUGGAUCAGUAGCGAACGGGUGACUAACACGUGAGCAAUCUGCCCCUGACUCUGGGAUAAGCGCUGGAAACGGCGUCUAAUACUGGAUACGAGCUGCGAAGGCAUCUUCAGCAGCUGGAAAGAACUUCGGUCAGGGAUGAGCUCGCGGCCUAUCAGCUUGUUGGUGAGGUAACGGCUCACCAAGGCGUCGACGGGUAGCCGGCCUGAGAGGGUGACCGGCCACACUGGGACUGAGACACGGCCCAGACUCCUACGGGAGGCAGCAGUGGGGAAUAUUGCACAAUGGGCGAAAGCCUGAUGCAGCAACGCCGCGUGAGGGACGACGGCCUUCGGGUUGUAAACCUCUUUUAGCAGGGAAGAAGCGAAAGUGACGGUACCUGCAGAAAAAGCGCCGGCUAACUACGUG